RNAcentral lists this ribosomal RNA (231 nucleotides) under uncultured bacterium. Its description in RNAcentral is "partial 16S ribosomal RNA". It matches the Rfam family "Bacterial small subunit ribosomal RNA", at positions 118 to 334 of the family's 1533-position model. The record is from RNAcentral.
UAGGUAACCUGCCUCUAAGAUCGGGAUAACCUGUCGAAAGACGAGCUAAUACCAAAUGAGACCACAGCUUCUUCGGAAGCAAGGGUCAAAGGUAGCCUCUACUUGUAAGCUAUCACUUAGAGAUGGGCCUGCGUACCAUUAGCUAGUUGGUGGGGUAACGGCCCACCAAGGCAAGGAUGGUUAGCUGGUCUGAGAGGAUGAUCAGCCACACUGGGACUGAGACAGGCCCAG